This is a long non-coding RNA of Helianthus annuus (common sunflower), 725 nucleotides long. RefSeq lists it as uncharacterized. NCBI's taxonomy places the organism in Eukaryota, Viridiplantae, Streptophyta, Magnoliopsida, Asterales, Asteraceae. The record is from RefSeq and is a predicted model, not a curated record. The transcript has 5 exons.
GGCAAUCAUCCCGCCCGAUUUUUUCAAUCUUCCUCAAAAACCUAAACCCCAAAUCCUCAAAACCUACAUUGAGCAUCUGCCCUGAAACAUCAUGCACUUUGUCUCGCUAUCGAACACCCAGCAAUAACCACUGAUCAUACAAAUUUAGAGAUCGAUUUCCAUCACUCCAAUGACCUACAGAUUCAAUAGUUCGCGAUAUUCGGCCAUUGAUUUGCUCUAGCGGUGGUGCUGCUCAAUCGUGAAUUCAUAGAACAGUGGGUUAAAAUCGGUUUGCUUGCCAAGAACAAAGUGAAAGCAGAUUGCAGCGAUUUGGAGUACUCGGAUCUAUGCACUAAGUGUGAGAAGUGAAGAGGAGUGAUCCAUAGAGAAGCUGCAGAGAAAUGGUUGUUGGUGGUACAGAGAUUGGACCAGAAUGGUGUGAGGUAAACGUUCAAGUACCAAUAAAAAAGAUGAAAACUUGGUAAGACUAUAUGGUUUAUUUUAUACAAUUCAAGAUUGUAUUGGUCCAUCCGCGGCAUGGCCCUAUCCAUUCAUCUCGGUAGUCCAUGAGGAAUGAGGACGCAUGAUGACUCAAGAUUUUAUGCUUCUUAUUUCUUUAUUUGCUUUUAAUUUCUUUGUUAAAUGUUAAGACUUUAUGUUAGAUAAUGUUAUAACUUAUUUGUGGUUAGUGUUUUUGUUAUGAACAUGCUUAUUUGAAAUAUAAUGAAGUUUUAUUUCUUUCAUUA